RNAcentral lists this ribosomal RNA (595 nucleotides) under uncultured bacterium. RNAcentral's name for it is "bacterial SSU rRNA". It matches the Rfam family "Bacterial small subunit ribosomal RNA", at positions 338 to 961 of the family's 1533-position model. The record is from RNAcentral.
CCUACGGGAGGCAGCAGUGGGGAAUUUUCCGCAAUGGGCGAAAGCCUGACGGAGCAACGCCGCGUGAGGGAUGAAGGCCUCUGGGCUGUAAACCUCUUUUAUCAAGGAAGAAGAUCUGACGGUACUUGAUGAAUAAGCCACGGCUAAUUCCGUGCCAGCAGCCGCGGUAAUACGGGAGUGGCAAGCGUUAUCCGGAAUUAUUGGGCGUAAAGCGUCCGCAGGCGGUCUUGUAAGUCUGUCGUUAAAGCGUGGAGCUUAACUCCAUUUCGGCGGUGGAAACUACAAGACUAGAGUGUGGUAGGGGCAGAGGGAAUUCCCGGUGUAGCGGUGAAAUGCGUAGAUAUCGGGAAGAACACCAGUGGCGAAGGCGCUCUGCUGGGCCAUAACUGACGCUCAUGGACGAAAGCUAGGGGAGCGAAAGGGAUUAGAUACCCCUGUAGUCCUAGCCGUAAACGAUGAACACUAGGUGUCGGGGGAAUCGACCCCUCGGUGUCGUAGCUAACGCGUUAAGUGUUCCGCCUGGGGAGUACGCACGCAAGUGUGAAACUUAAAUGAAUUGACGGCUGGAAGAGUGCGAGACGACGACGAGGAGAGG